This 253-nucleotide ribosomal RNA is filed under the name uncultured bacterium. RNAcentral's name for it is "partial 16S ribosomal RNA". It matches the Rfam family "Bacterial small subunit ribosomal RNA", at positions 524 to 776 of the family's 1533-position model. The record is from RNAcentral.
UACAGAGGGUGCAAGCGUUGUUCGGAAUUAUUGGGCGUAAAGGGCGCGUAGGCGGUGCGGUAAGUCUGUAGUGAAAUCUCUGGGCUCAACUCAGAGUCUGCUGCAGAAACUGCCGUGCUUGAGUGUGGGAGAGGUGAGUGGAAUUCCCGGUGUAGUGGUGAAAUGCGUAGAGAUCGGGAGGAACACCCGUGGCGCAGGCGGCCCCCUGGGCCGGGCCUGACGCUGAGACGCGAAAGCGUGGGGAGCGAACGGG